CAGCCGCCGCGGGAACACGGAGGGAGCUAGCGUUGUUCGGAAUUACUGGGCGUAAAGCGCGCGUAGGCGGUUACUCAAGUCAGAGGUGAAAGCCCGGGGCUCAACCUCGGAACUGCCUUUGAAACUAGGUGACUAGAAUCUUGGAGAGGUCAGUGGAAUUCCGAGUGUAGAGGUGAAAUUCGUAGAUAUUCGGAAGAACACCAGUGGCGAAGGCGACUGACUGGACAAGUAUUGACGCUGAGGUGCGAAAGCGUGGGGAGCAAACAGGAUUAGAUACCCCAGUAGUCCCUGUCUCUUAUAC
RNAcentral lists this ribosomal RNA (301 nucleotides) under uncultured bacterium. Its description in RNAcentral is "partial 16S ribosomal RNA". It matches the Rfam family "Bacterial small subunit ribosomal RNA", at positions 509 to 807 of the family's 1533-position model. The record is from RNAcentral.